Molecule: long non-coding RNA, 1046 nt
Filed under: Brassica rapa (field mustard)
Lineage: Eukaryota; Viridiplantae; Streptophyta; Magnoliopsida; Brassicales; Brassicaceae
Description: long non-coding RNA (BRAP_LNC001899)
Source: RNAcentral
AUCACAAGAUCAAAGCAGUUUAACGAACCCAAAGUUCAGCAUGAAGAUGAAGGAGUUUGGAAGAAACCUUGAGGAGGAGGAACACCAACGGGAGGUUGAUUGUACUGAGUCAUUGUUGUUUCUUUUCUAGGUUUCUGAUCUCCUGCGAAACGUGUAGGUCAAGAACAAGAAACGACGUUGACUAAAGGAGAUGACUCACAAUGCAAAGUCUAGACCCAUAAACUUAUAGAGAUGUGUACAGAACGAUAAGGAGAAGGAAAAGUCAUUGAGAGUAUGUUUUAAGUAAAACGCGUUUUGCAGUAGUUAUCUCUCUUUUUUAUUUGGUUUUAUCCCAAAAUCAAACCUCCGCCAUAUAAUAGCAGAUAUUUAUUAUGUUUACUUUUAAUUAUAUAUUUUUUUUAUAAAGAAUAAAACAUAUUACCCUGUUUUCCUGUACUAUAUACUAAGCUUUGCUAUUGCUAACUGACCGUAUAUGGUUGAUAUUUGUCAAGUCUUGCUGCUACUUGUCAAGGUCAUAAGACUUGGCUCUCCGUUUGGUCCAAAAUUUGAUUAACAACCUACACUUGAUCAUGUAUCACAAAAUGCAUAGUUCAGUGAGGUUGAUUGUACUGAGUCAUUGUUGUUCCUCUGCGAAACUCGUAGCUCAAGAAAAGACUUGACGAAAGGAGAUGACGCUCAGUGCAAAGUCUAGACCCAGAAACUUAUUGAAGAUAUAUGAGCCGUAGAAUUUAGAUAUGUGUAGAGAAUGAUAAGGAAAAGUCAUUGUAUGACUGGUUGAAACGCAGUAAGUUUUAAGCACCAGCUUUAGAUAAUAAAAAACAGUCUAAAAAACCAUAAUAAUUUGACCCAAAAAAAAACCAUAAUAAUAAGUUAAAUGAUAAAAAAUGUAACCAAUGAUUACAAGAUAUUUGACUGAAUGGGUUCCAGUGGAUUUCUCGUGAUAUAUCAUUUAGAUAUUGCUUUUCGUUCUAUCUUCUCAUCACAAUGGAAUAUAGUCAAAUCCAGACUCUAGAGAUAUAGUGAUAUGGAAAAGAAAAAAUUGUUUC